AAGGGGGUGGGGUGAAGAGUCCUAGAGAUCAUGGAGUCUUGAUGUGUUGUCGCCUCUACUCAAAAAUUCACCCCAACACAUGCCAAAAAAAUAUGGGACACCCCUUUCCAUAUAUUUUCAUGGUAAAUCAAUUCUCUAACUAAUUUUUUUUGAAAAAUCUCCUCAAAAUGUCACACAUAUAAGGAGAAAAAAAUAAGUUGGCGGCA
This 206-nucleotide long non-coding RNA is filed under the name Elaeis guineensis (African oil palm). RNAcentral's name for it is "long non-coding RNA (EGUI_LNC036466)". The record is from RNAcentral. Lineage: Eukaryota; Viridiplantae; Streptophyta; Magnoliopsida; Arecales; Arecaceae.